CUGAGCUACAACACACCUUUAAUUAGUAUAAACAUCCGUUUACGCUCCUCUCGGGAUGAUAAAUGUGGGUUGAAAGUCAAGUAAAGGCGACAACUGUUUUGACAUGUUUUAAUUUUAUUUCACGGGAGUCCAGAGACGAGGCUUGGAUAUGAUGUUCAGCCUGGGAAAGGAAAGCAGGGAGAUCAUGAGGUGGCACAGAGGAGCUGCAGCUCUUGCAGCAGAGUUGCAUCAGUCUCAUCAGUGAGAAGAGCAGAGCAGAGCAGCGCCCCCCCCCCCCAGAGCGUCACUAACGCAAGGUGAAACCACCGUCACAUUUCAGUGUGUGUGAGCUCAUAUUUACCAACAGCCAAGGACGUGUGUGUGUGUGACAGUCGGCUCACGUAUCAGGCGGAGCUGCUGAUAGAAGGAUUUACAGCACGAAUCAGAAGAAACGACCUCGGGGCCAAACGAUAACACCCCUGGUUAAUGUGGAACUAGAGAGAUAGUGGGGAGGGCACGUACCAGGGAGAUUACAGCCGUUUUCUCCUCAGCCUUUCCUUAUGCUUUCACCAAUAAACAUUAGAAUAAACCAGACGGACAAAUCUAUAGUUCAAAGCAUUUUAUUGCAUUUUUUUUUUUUUUUUUUUUAGAAAAACAAUACAAAAUUUUGUAGCAACUGUCAUAAAUGUUGCCUUGAGUGAACUGCAAUCAUUCACAUGGUACAGUAAAGUGCUUAUUAUAAAUCAAAAUGUUUUUUGUACUUAAAGGAUGUAUUCAUUUUGAAUUUUUACCCAGGAACACGAUGGGCUUCGGGGGGGAUUCAGUGUUUUUUUUUUUCUCUUCUAAAAAAUAAAAAAUAAAAAAUAUCAGGCG
Molecule: long non-coding RNA, 852 nt
Organism: Mugil cephalus (flathead mullet)
Lineage: Eukaryota; Metazoa; Chordata; Actinopteri; Mugiliformes; Mugilidae
Exons: 2
Source: RefSeq, a predicted model, not a curated record